Molecule: ribosomal RNA, 385 nt
Filed under: uncultured bacterium
Lineage: Bacteria
Description: bacterial SSU rRNA
Rfam family: Bacterial small subunit ribosomal RNA
Source: RNAcentral
GACGAACGCUGGCGGCGUGCUUAACACAUGCAAGUGGAGCGACGAACCGGGGGCUUGCCCCGGGGCAGAGCCGCGAACGGGUGAGUAACACGUGGGUUACCUGCCCUGAUGACCGGGACAACCCGUCGAAAGACGGGCUAAUACCGGAUGUGCCCGCAAGGGGAAAGGAGGCGUAAGCUUCCGCAUCGGGAUGGGCCCGCGGAGCAUUAGCUUGUUGGUGAGGUAAAAGCUCACCAAGGCUUCGAUGCUUAGCUGGUCUGAGAGGACGAUCAGCCACACUGGGACUGAGACACGGCCCAGACUCCUACGGGAGGCAGCAGUGGGAAUCUUGCGCAAUGCGCGAAAGCGUGACGCAGCAACGCCGCGUGCGGGAAGACGGCCUCGG